UUCUUUUUCUUGUUUACAAAUAUAUAUUGUAGAAAAUGUUCACACCUGAUAAAAGUCACCUUAUCAGUUGACCUCUAUGUGACAGCUCAGUCUUCACCCUGUUUUUUUGUAGGUCAGUCUGGGAAUUUAAUUAACUUUCGAGUGAAUUCGACCUUGAUGCGCACUCGACUGGAACAUUUCGUACUUCUAUUGGCUCGUGCGGCUACAAAGUUCUUUCGCCCAAGCACCCCACACUCACUUCUCCCCCUCUGACGACAAGGUGUCAAUAGGAUGAGCCAAUAAUUAUUGGCAUCAAAAUAUCACUGUUAAUUGUUUGUUUGCGUUGCGUGAUACAUUUUUGAUAUUGGAUAAUAAUCAUGCGACAUCAACAAAGUUGAUACUCAAGAAACGAAAUUUAUGCAAAUUGCGAGCGAGUGUAUAAUCCAUUAUUUAUCCCAUUAAGAGUAAAAUCAGCGUUUCCAUUUGCUGACUAAGUACAAGUAGAGUAUCUUUGCUCGACUUUGUGAAUCUGCCUACUGAAUCACUUACAUGGGAAACACUUGCAGUGCCGACCCUACGAGAAGUAACCCUGGAGAAUCGAAGAGGAAACAAAGGAAAUUUAAGAAAGAAAUGCUCCAAACACAUCUGAAUGUAAUGAA
RNAcentral lists this long non-coding RNA (638 nucleotides) under Drosophila guanche. Lineage: Eukaryota; Metazoa; Arthropoda; Insecta; Diptera; Drosophilidae. The record is from RNAcentral.